RNAcentral lists this ribosomal RNA (468 nucleotides) under uncultured bacterium. RNAcentral's name for it is "partial 16S ribosomal RNA". It matches the Rfam family "Bacterial small subunit ribosomal RNA", at positions 28 to 507 of the family's 1533-position model. The record is from RNAcentral.
GACGAACGCUGGCGGCGUGCUUAACACAUGCAAGUCGAACGGAAAGGCCCUGCUUUUGCGGGGUGCUCGAGUGGCGAACGGGUGAGUAACACGUGAGUAACCUGCCCUGGACUUUGGGAUAACUUCAGGAAACUGGGGCUAAUACCGGAUAGGAGCUCGUGCUGCAUGGUGGGGGUUGGAAAGUUUCGGCGGUUGGGUAUGGACUCGCGGCUUAUGAGCUUGUUGGUGGGGUAGUGGCUUACCAAGGCUUUGACGGGUAGCCGGCCUGAGAGGGUGACCGGCCACAUUGGCACUGAGAUACGGCCCAGACUCCUACGGGAGGCAGAAGUGGGGAAUAUUGCACAAUGGGCGGAAGCCUGAUGCAGCAACGCCGCGUGCGGGAUGACGGCCUUCGGGUUGUAAACCGCUUUCGCCUGUGACGAAGCGUGAGUGACGGUAAUGGGUAAAGAAGCACCGGCUAACUACGUG